CCCAUCUCAGGACUGCACCUGGAGAGUUUCCAGUAUUCUACCAGCCUCGCCUACGGGAGGGAGAAUCAAGCGGAGGCAUAUCCAUUCCAUUCCUAGCUUGGGCAGUGGCUAGCAAGUGGAAGGCAAUCUGCUACCAAU
This is a non-coding RNA of Ornithorhynchus anatinus (platypus), 138 nucleotides long. NCBI's taxonomy places the organism in Eukaryota, Metazoa, Chordata, Mammalia, Monotremata, Ornithorhynchidae. The record is from Rfam.